AUUUAAACAGCACCAAAUCACAACAACAGUCGCCUUAAGGCACUUUAUACCAUACGGUAGAACCUACAAUAACACAUACAGAGAAAAAUCCAACAACCAUAUGACCCACUAUGAGCAAGACUUUGGCGACAGUGGGAAGAAAAAACUCCCUUUUAACAGGAAGAAGCCUCCGUCAGAACCAGGCUGAGGGAGGGAGGGAGGGAGGGGGUGGCUAUCUGCCGCAACCGGUUAACAACAACACGAGAACAGCAACUUAAGUGGAAGGCUUGUAUAAUGUGGCCAGUUUUCUUGGUUCUUGGGAGAAGUUGGGAUCUAAAUUAUAUGUAAUGAUUUCUGAUUGAUACCUGGUAAAAGACUAUUACAAUAAUCUAACCAAGAAGAAAUAAAAUAUGUUAAGUGGUAUUACUGUGAAGUGGAAGUGUUUAGGGACCAUGGCAACAUGACUGCAUUAAAAUACAGAGCAGGGUUGCUGAGUGCUUAGGAACACAGACUGGAAAAGUCAAAAAACACUCUGCGGACUCAAGAUUUCCAAAUUAGCAUUAGCACAAAACCUGUGCACCAGGUUUUGGUGCAUGGGUUUCAGUGGCCAAAUAGCUCCCUGAGGUGCAAUAUGAAGGUGGCCCAGAACUUUGUGCUUAUAUGACUCAUUCUGACUCAUUUCUGCUAUCUCUGUGCAGUAGCCAUGAAAGGUCAAAUUCAGUGCAAAUUAAGAAAACACAAUCAAAUAAAAAAAAAGUGCUGCAAAAGCAAACAAAAAAAAAACAGAAUUAAAAAAAAAACAGCUCAGAAAAGGCAACAAAAGUGUUUUGGGGAAGACAACAAUGUGAGAGAACACUUCCUGAAGUCACAAGCUAAUAGCAUAUGUACCUAUGGUAUUAUAUGUAUCAUACGAUUAAUACCCAGCACUGAAUCCUCUGUUUCUUUUAACCAUGCCACAGAGCCUUGGGUUUCUUUCACUUCUGCAGCUAAUGUCUAAGUUUUGUGUGCGUUUGUAGUGUUUUUAUGUUUGCUGGUGUUUUCAUAAGUUGCAGUAAAUUUGAUUUCACCAUAUAACAGCCACGUUAAAGCCAUCAUCAAGUUGCGUAAAAUAUUUUCUGAGACCUCCAAAAGUUGAUUCUGUUCAUCUGGACGUAGCGUUUUGUGGGAUAAAUGUUUCGUCACUCAUCCAAGUGACUUCUUCAGUCUCAGCUGACUGCAGGUUUCC
Molecule: long non-coding RNA, 1204 nt
Organism: Astatotilapia calliptera (eastern happy)
Lineage: Eukaryota; Metazoa; Chordata; Actinopteri; Cichliformes; Cichlidae
Source: Ensembl